RNAcentral lists this ribosomal RNA (235 nucleotides) under uncultured bacterium. Its description in RNAcentral is "partial 16S ribosomal RNA". It matches the Rfam family "Bacterial small subunit ribosomal RNA", at positions 96 to 334 of the family's 1533-position model. The record is from RNAcentral.
UGGCGGACGGGUGAGUAAUGUCUGGGAAACUGCCCGAUGGAGGGGGAUAACUACUGGAAACGGUAGCUAAUACCGCAUAACGUCGCAAGGCCGAAGAGGGGGACCUUCGGGCCUCUUGCCAUCGGAUGUGCCCAGAUGGGAUUAGCUAGUAGGUGGGGUAACGGCUCACCUAGGCGACGAUCCCUAGCUGGUCUGAGAGGAUGACCAGCCACACUGGAACUGAGACACGGUCCAG